Molecule: long non-coding RNA, 2355 nt
Filed under: Olea europaea subsp. europaea
Lineage: Eukaryota; Viridiplantae; Streptophyta; Magnoliopsida; Lamiales; Oleaceae
Source: RNAcentral
CCACCCAAGUUUCUCUCUAGAGACAUGAAGUUGGCCCCACGCAGUAUACAUGGGUGAUAAAAAAUAGCCAAAAAGGUGCCGACCUCCCAUCUUAUGCGUUGCCUGUAGGGCUUCGUGCUGUACACAUAGCUGGGUUCUUGGUUAAAACAUGUCAGGAUUAUAUUGGAGAUGAAAACAGAUCUGCGGAAGCGUCACACAUCGACGCACGCUUAUUGUAACCAUUCAGACAAGACAAUUCACAGAGAUUCAGACAACCAUUUCCCCUACAUAAGUAGAAGCACUACCAACGCUGAAAGCAGUGUGGGUGUGCUCAAUUCACUGCAUAAAUAUUUUCGCACUUGUCCAUUUCCCACUGCCAUUCGAAAUGAGGUCUUAAAUCCAAGAUCCAGAGUCAUGGAAGAAGUUUGGAAUGAUAUUAAUCUUGCUUCUCUUAACGACCACCCCACAGAUUUCCGUGGAAUGAACCUUCAGGAUUUCUUGGCCAGAACCUGUCCUAACAAAGAUUCAGUGCACAUUUCUAGCGUCUCUUCCGGUUUUGUCUCUCCGACCACUAUGCUCACCUUGAACUCAAGACCUGAACGGUUGCAUUUCUCGGGAAACUCGGAUCCUCUUAUCCUAAGCUCUAGUUCACUGCCUCAGAGUCUUUCUAUUUCUCCUGCGUGUUGUGUCAACGUGGCUUCAGAGGGUCAUGGGAAGAAGAGAUUCACAGAGACUGGCAGCAAUCUCGCCGGUGACCGACGGCACAAGCGUAUGAUCAAGAACCGGGAGUCAGCUGCUCGAUCAAGGACUAGAAAGCAGGAAAGUCUCUUUUUAUCACUUCUUUUAUCUGCCGUAUAGUUAACAUUUUCUGGUGAUUACUAUGAUCAGCAUGUAACCCUUUGUUAGCCUUAGCUGUGACUUGUGAGGUCAUUUUCUAGAAUAGAUUUUGUAGGCUGCUUGAAAUUUUCUGUACCAAAUUUUUACCUGGACUCGAAUGCCUUUUUUUCUGUGGGUAUUCUGUGGUCCAUUUACAUCUCUCGUUUCUUAUUCAUUCCACCUUAUUAUAGGCUUAUAUGAAUGAGUUAGAGCUAGAAGUGGCCCACCUGGUGGAAGAGAAUGCCCGGCUCAGGGAACAACAACAGGCAUAUAUCCAUCAUUUAUUUAUAUACAGUAGUUUAUAGAAGAAACCCCCGCACCCCCGCAAUCAUAAGAUGAACGAUGGUCUAUAUAGCCGCAGAAUUAGAAUCAGUGUCAUUAAUUCUUCGAUGAAUAAAAAUGUAUUUCUACUUCAUUUGGAAAUACUGAUGGUAAAAUCUUUUUGCUAUGUAUUGCUUUACUGGUUACUCCUAAUUGAGUUAUUUUGCAUUUGGAUUAUGGCAGCUAUAUCUAGCAGAAGCUGCUCAAGUCCCCAGGAAGCAAACUCUCCGUCGAACAUCAACCGCUCCAUUUUGACUUAAAAAUGAGAUCUUCCAGAAGAUCGGUUCUAGUUAAGGAUUUUAAAGUUUUGUUUGGUGGGCUUGUAAAAUGUUUAAUAUCUGAACCAUAAUUUGUCAACACCAAGAUGCUCGGUUGGUUCUGUAAGGUCGAGGUGGGGUUGGUGACAGAGUAGGCCCACGGUGAUAUUAGCAAGUUAAGGUUUUUGCUGGUUCAAAGUCCAAACAAGCAGAGCAGAGAUUUUUGGGGUGAUGUUUUCUGCGCUUGCUUGUUUUGGACUCCCUCUAUCUUUCCUGCCUUUUCUUUCCCUCAGUCCAUAGGAAAAGAACAUUUGUAGGCUGGACAAGAAACUAUCGCAGGAACAUAUUUGUACAACGUAGUAUAGAGUAAAGAUUGAGCGAAUAUUGGCACAGUUAUCCCAUUAUAUAAAGGACUUUGCUAAGUGUACUGUAAUGUCUUUUUUUCUCAGGUCAUUAUUUUCAUUGAUGUGGGUACACUUGAGCCCCAUUUCAGAGAAAAUCUUCCCUGGUGGACGGUGCGAUGGGCCCAAUGUCGAGGUGCCACCUCGGUGGGUGGCCCACACAACUCAGGAGUGUAUGCAAGGGGGGGGCACUCGACAAGGUGGCGCACCGUGAUAGGGUGAUCGCACUGUUACAUAGUGCGAUUGUCCCACGAAAGAUUUUCUCCCAUUUCGAUGUCUCAAUUAUGCUUGGUGUACAUUAAGUUUGACAAUUUUGAAAAUAAUAGUUUUUCCUUUGCUUAUUAUUUUUUUUUUCAAUUACGCACAAGUACAUCUUUUUUUAUGUCCUCACACAUCACACAAGUGGGACUCACUCGUGUGAGUGAGCUGUCAAAGUAGUAGUACACUAAGCUUAAUUCAUUGUUAUAUUAUUAUUAUUAUUAUUAUUUUUACAUCAAAGCAAGUGUUAAACAUGAUGUGCA